GCCGCGGUAAUACGAGUGCCUCAAGCGUUAUCCGGAAUUAUUGGGCGUAAAGGAUGUGUAGGUGGUAGUGUUAGUCUCUUGUUAAAUUCUUCGGCUUAACCGGGGGCAUGCAAGGGAAACGGCACAACUAGAGGAUGCGAGGGGUUUGCGGAACUCAUAGUGUAGCGGUGAAAUGCGUUGAUAUUAUGGGGAACACCAAAAGCGAAGGCAGCAAACUGGAGCACUCCUGACACUGAAACAUGAAAGCGUGGGUAGCGAAUGGGAUUAGAUACCCCAGUAGUCCACGCCCUAAACGAUGAUCUCUGGCUUUGAGGAGUAUCGACCCUCUUCGAGGCGAAGCUAACGCGUUAAGAGAUCCGCCUGGGUAGUACGACCGCAAGGUUAAAACUCAAAGGA
This 396-nucleotide ribosomal RNA is filed under the name uncultured bacterium. Its description in RNAcentral is "bacterial SSU rRNA". It matches the Rfam family "Bacterial small subunit ribosomal RNA", at positions 514 to 908 of the family's 1533-position model. The record is from RNAcentral.